This 268-nucleotide ribosomal RNA is filed under the name uncultured bacterium. RNAcentral's name for it is "partial 16S ribosomal RNA". It matches the Rfam family "Bacterial small subunit ribosomal RNA", at positions 333 to 599 of the family's 1533-position model. The record is from RNAcentral.
UCUCACCUACGGGGGGCAGCAGUGAGGAAUAUUGGUCAAUGGGCGAGAGCCUGAACCAGCCAAGUCGCGUGAGGGAGUACUGCCCUAUGGGUUGUAAACCUCUUUUGUCGGGGAGCAAAAGCCGGACGUGUCCGGCUGUGAGAGUACCCGAAGAAAAAGCAUCGGCUAACUCCGUGCCAGCAGCCGCGGUAAUACGGAGGAUGCGAGCGUUAUCCGGAUUCAUUGGGUUUAAAGGGUGCGCAGGCGGGCCUUUAAGCCGGCGGUGAAA